Molecule: RNA transcript, 2247 nt
Organism: Chlorocebus sabaeus (green monkey)
Lineage: Eukaryota; Metazoa; Chordata; Mammalia; Primates; Cercopithecidae
Gene name: E3 ubiquitin-protein ligase ZNRF2-like
Source: RefSeq, a predicted model, not a curated record
GCUGGUUAUUUGCCAAGUGAUUUGGGAAACCAGAAGGCUGGGGCAGCUGGGGGAGAAAAGAAAAUAAACCAGGAGGCUGUCACCGCUGCCACAGGUGCAGGCUGUUAUCCUUGCCAUCUGCAGCAGCCCCUCCAAGCUGUGGAGAUCAGGUCAUCGGGAAUGCCCAUUUAUGGCAAUGGAAGAAAGAAAAAGGGGUCUCCUCCCAUCCUUACCACUGCAUUCUCCCACCAACACUGCUCCUGUUCCACUUCCACAACUUAAUUGUUGACAAUUUAACAGUGGGUUUCUGGAAACAGUGCUGCCUUCGUGAUGGUCUAACUACCAGAGUUAUUCCAAUAGCAGGAAUUUCAAGCCACGUAAGGGGAGCCAUGUCAGGCUGCCAGAUGGUGGGGAAGACAGGUGUGGGUGAGCUGGCUUCAGACUAAAGGAAGAGGGGAUCAAGUGUUGAAAUCACAUUUGAGAAAAGGAGUCAAGCGAACCUCAUCACCCAUUAUGGAGCCCUGUUAUAUCCUUUAGUGCUAUUUGGACUUGGAUUGAACCUGUGACAAAUCCUUUGCUUAUGCUUCUUCCAUCCCUGCUUCCAUGUUAUAUCCUUUCCCCUUCUAAAAUGGUAAUAAUGAGAAAUAACUAUUACUAAUUACCCUAGAACAUAAAUUUCAUUUAAGAUGUCACAAUCAGAAUAUCAUCCUCAGUUUUUCAGAGCUGCAAAUUACCCAUGGUUAUAUGCAGGUAGUACUAAAUGGACAGAUCUGGGAUCAAGCUCAGGGCUUUGUGACUUUAAAAUUCUUGUUCUGCUACCUUCCAAGUGGCCUAGGGUGAUUUGCCCUAAACGGUUCACCUCUGUAUGAUGAUGCAUCCAUGCAGUGGGGCUUAUAGAAAGUGAAUGUGGAGCCUCAGAGCCUUAAUCUUGAAGCGGGCUCUCUAGAAGGAAGCUUGCAGAAGGAGUGGGGACUCAAUGGGAUGCUGUUUUCUCAUUGUGUUUCAGUGAUGACUGAAAAUCUGUUGCCAACAACUAUCUGGAAACAAUGUUUUGACGAUCCACCACCCCACCCCUCCAAACCACUUUCUUGCACAUACUCCAGAAUAAUAGACAGAAGAAUUUAAUACAUGUGAUGCUUUGCCUUCCAUUUACACUAUCAUAAAUUACAAAGUAUUGUUCACUUCACAAAAUAAAACCAUUUCCAGAUAAUUUUUUGACAGUAUCAAGAAGUACAUAAACUACAACAAACAAAGCUGUACAGUUGGGAGGAGGGAUAAUAGCAGGGAAGAGGUCAAACCAUUCUGACCUCCGUGUGCCAAUGGAGUCCAUCUGCAUAGCCCUUGGGACUGUUCAGGUCAACAGUCACACGGUGAUGCUCCACGUAACACAGUCAUUCUCUUCUGCUCACUCCAAAGCAUGAUUGGUGAGUUUACACAAAUCAUCUCAAUCAAAGGAAAAGACAUUGUGGUUGGAUUUUUUAAAAAUCUAGAUUUACAGUUUUUGAUGUUUUAAAUAUUUCACCUAUGUUACAAAAUAUAGAAAUCUUGGUGUGAAAGGCUCAUGCUAAGAUAAAUAUAACCAAGAGAAUGGAACUAUAGUAAUAAAAUCAUAUUGAAUUAUCCACACAGAGCUACUUUUGUCAAGGAGGAACAAAUAUUUGGUAAAAACCAACCUUAUUCUCACUUUAAAAAAUAGGUUUCUAGAACAAAAAUGAAAAACAUUGACAAUUCUGCAGAUUCGCUUUUCACCAAUACAGAAAUGUGGCAAAAAUACAAUUUGAUAUUAACAGAUGAAUUCAGAGGGCUUGGCCGGGAAGAAAAGAGGGAAAGUGCUAACUUUUUACACAGACCAGAUACAUCCAGUGUUCUCAAAUAAUUUCAGGUACAAUGACCGCAUUCUGUAUCUUCUGGGAUACACACUCAUGAUACGAAAAGACUAUGAGCAAUUCCAAAGCAUACUUUGGGAAUUCACAAAAUUUGUAUGAAAAGAAAAUUGGUGGACAUUUCAGACCAUCCUACAAUUGCUAUAAAUAUAUACCAUACAAUAGAAGAAUGCCAGUGCUUAAGAGCAAAAACUGUUAAAAGCAGGAACACAAGGGGCAGGUGAAAUUUCAUUGAAAAGCACUGAGGAGGACAGAGGUAUGUCGAGAUAAUACUGCAUUCGUGGUCAGCUUUUUCAGGGUGUCACAGCAAAAUGAGGGACAAGGUACACAGGGUAAUAACCAAUGCACUGCAUUGAGUUCUAUUUGCUAAAAAUAACAUUCUUGU